UUUUUGAUUAAUAAUUUAAAGUCUAAUCUGCCCACUGAUAUAAUAUUAAAGGGCUGCAGUAUUUUGACUGUACAAAGGUAGCAUAAUCAUUAGUCUCUUAAUUGGUGACUUGUAUGAAAGAUUUGAUGAAAUAUAUACUGUCUCUUUUUAAUUUAUAAAAUUUAAUUUUUUAGUUAAAAAGCUAAAAUAUGUUUAAAAGACGAGAAGACCCUAUAGAGUUUUAUAUUUAUAUAAAUUAAAAUUUUUUGUAAGAUUUAAAAUUUUGAUAUAUUUAAAUAUUAUGUUGGGGUGACGAAAAAAUUUGAAUAACUUUUUUUAUAAAUUAAACAUUUAUUAAUGAAUAUUUGAUCCGUAAUUUACGAUUAUAAGAAAAAAUUACCUUAGGGAUAACAGCGUAAUUUUUUUUUUUAGUUCAAAUAAGAAUUAAAGUUUGCGACCUCGAUGUUGGAUUAAGAUAAAAUUUAAAUGCAAAAGUUUAAAAUUUUUGAUCUGUUCGAUCAUUAAAAUCUUACA
RNAcentral lists this ribosomal RNA (513 nucleotides) under Parnassius cephalus irene. RNAcentral's name for it is "partial 16S ribosomal RNA". The stretch from base 386 to 513 matches the Rfam family "Bacterial large subunit ribosomal RNA", at positions 2473 to 2600 of the family's 2925-position model. Lineage: Eukaryota; Metazoa; Arthropoda; Insecta; Lepidoptera; Papilionidae. The record is from RNAcentral.